UCGUAAGUGGAAACUGCGGAGGGAUCAUUACAGAGUUGCAAAACUCCCACAAACCAUCGCGAAUCUUACCCGUACGGUUGCCUCGGCGCUGGCGGUCCGGAAAGGCCCUCGGGCCCUCCCGGACCCUCGGGUCUCCCGCUCGCGGGAGGCUGCCCGCCGGAGUGCCGAAACUAAACUCUUGAUAUUUUAUGUCUCUCUGAGUAAACUUUUAAAUAAGUCAAAACUUUCAACAACGGAUCUCUUGGUUCUGGCAUCGAUGAAGAACGCAGCGAAAUGCGAUAAGUAAUGUGAAUUGCAGAAUUCAGUGAAUCAUCGAAUCUUUGAACGCACAUUGCGCUCGCCAGUAUUCUGGCGAGCAUGCCUGUUCGAGCGUCAUUUCAACCAUCAAGCUCUGCUUGCGUUGGGGAUCCGCGGCUGUCCGCGGUCCCUCAAAAUCAGUGGCGGGCUCGCUAGUCACACCGAGCGUAGUAACUCUACAUCGCUAUGGUCGUGCGGCGGGUUCUUGCCGUAAAACCCCCCAUUUCUAAGUGUACCUCGGAUCAGGUAGGAAUACCACCCUGAGCUA
This 565-nucleotide ribosomal RNA is filed under the name Neurospora intermedia. RNAcentral's name for it is "eukaryotic LSU rRNA". The stretch from base 222 to 375 matches the Rfam family "5.8S ribosomal RNA". The record is from RNAcentral. Lineage: Eukaryota; Fungi; Ascomycota; Sordariomycetes; Sordariales; Sordariaceae.